This 481-nucleotide ribosomal RNA is filed under the name uncultured bacterium. RNAcentral's name for it is "partial 16S ribosomal RNA". It matches the Rfam family "Bacterial small subunit ribosomal RNA", at positions 28 to 507 of the family's 1533-position model. The record is from RNAcentral.
GAUGAACGCUGGCGGCGUGCCUAACACAUGCAAGUCGAGCGAAGCGCUUAAAUUAGAUUUCUUCGGAAUGACGAUUUUUGUGACUGAGCGGCGGACGGGUGAGUAACGCGUGGGUAACCUGCCUCAUACAGGGGGAUAACAGUUAGAAAUGACUGCUAAUACCGCAUAAGACCCCAGCUUCGCAUGAAGCGGUGGUAAAAACUCCGGUGGUAUGAGAUGGACCCGCGUCUGAUUAGCUAGUUGGUAAGGUAACGGCUUACCAAGGCGACGAUCAGUAGCCGACCUGAGAGGGUGACCGGCCACAUUGGGACUGAGACACGGCCCAGACUCCUACGGGAGGCAGCAGUGGGGUAUAUUGCACAAUGGGGGAAACCCUGAUGCAGCGACGCCGCGUGAAGGAUGAAGUAUUUCGGUAUGUAAACUUCUAUCAGCAGGGAAGAAAGUGACGGUACCUGACUAAGAAGCCCCGGCUAACUACGUG